Molecule: small nucleolar RNA, 139 nt
Organism: Indicator indicator
Lineage: Eukaryota; Metazoa; Chordata; Aves; Piciformes; Indicatoridae
Product: small nucleolar RNA SNORA5
Exons: 1
Source: RefSeq, a predicted model, not a curated record
UGCAGCUACACCCAAUUCACUCCUCAUCCAGCCCGUGCUGGGGCCUGGCCAAACAGCUGCCACAGCAGGAUCUGUAGCUGCUGAGCCUCACUGUCCCCUCUGCUUGGACCCUGGGGACAGCUAAAUGCUGCAGACAGCA